RNAcentral lists this transfer RNA (73 nucleotides) under Camelus bactrianus (Bactrian camel). It matches the Rfam family "tRNA". Rfam says of the family: Transfer RNA (tRNA) molecules are approximately 80 nucleotides in length. Their secondary structure includes four short double-helical elements and three loops (D, anti-codon, and T loops). Lineage: Eukaryota; Metazoa; Chordata; Mammalia; Artiodactyla; Camelidae. RNAcentral also lists the same sequence under 2 other names. The record is from Rfam by way of RNAcentral.
GAAGGUAUAGCUCAAGUGGUAGAGCACAUGCUUAGCAUGCACAAGGUCCUGAGUUCAAUCCCCAGUACCUCCA